GAUGAACGCUGACAGAAUGCUUAACACAUGCAAGUCGAUUCGAUUUACCUUCGGGUAUUGAGGAUGGCGGACGGGUGAGUAACGCGUAAGGAACUUGCCUCUUGGUCUGGGACAACUGUUGGAAACGACAGCUAAUACCGGAUAUUAUGAGAUUCUCGCAUGGGAAACUUAUGAAAGCUAUAUGCGCCAAGAGAGAGCCUUGCGUUCCAUUAGCUAGUUGGUGGGGUAACGGCCCACCAAGGCGACGAUGGAUAGCCGGCCUGAGAGGGUGAACGGCCACAAGGGGACUGAGACACGGCCCUUACUCCUACGGGAGGCAGCAGUGGGGAAUAUUGGACAAUGGGCCACAAGCCUGAUCCAGCAAUUCUGUGUGCACGAUGAAGGUCUUCGGAUUGUAAAGUGCUUUCAGUUGGGAAGAAGAAAGUGACGGUACCAACAGAAGAAGCGACGGCUAAAUACGUGCCAGCAGCCGCGGUAAUACGUAUGUCGCAAGCGUUAUCCGGAUUUAUUGGGCGUAAAGCGCGUCUAGGCGGAAAAAUAAGUCUGAUGUUAAAAUGCGGGGCUCAACUCCGUAUUGCGUUGGAAACUGUUUUUCUAGAGUACUGNAGAGGUGGGCGGAACUACAAGUGUAGAGGUGAAAUUCGUAGAUAUUUGUAGGAAUGCCGAUGGAGAAGUCAGCUCACUGGACAGANACUGACGCUAAAGCGCGAAAGCGUGGGGAGCAAACAGGANUAGAUACCCUGGUAGUCCACGC
Molecule: ribosomal RNA, 754 nt
Filed under: uncultured prokaryote
Description: bacterial SSU rRNA
Rfam family: Bacterial small subunit ribosomal RNA
Source: RNAcentral